AUGGCGCUAAGCGUGGCACGAUCGCUUGUGACGAGCGCUGCAAACAAGGCGGCCUCAGAGGCCAUGGAUGAAGUGGCUUUGCUCAUGGGAGUACGGACCGAAAUAUGGUACAUCAAGGAUGAGCUUAAAAUAAUGCAAGCCUUCUUGAGAACUGCUGAAAGGAUGAAAGAUAGCGAUGAGCUGGUGAAAGUAUGGGCGGAGCAAGUAGAGGAUGUGUCAUAUGACAUUAAAUAUUGCCUGGACGAAUUCAAAGCUAAUUUGGGGCACCCAGGCUGCUUGCAGUGGCUCGUGAAGGUUAGAUAUCGCCAUCAAAUUGCUAUCCAGAUUCGUAACUUGAAAGUAAGAGUUGGAGAGGUAAGCAACAGGAUCCAACGUUAUAGUCAUUUAAUGAUGCCCAUAACAUCUAGCAGCAUUGAUGAGAGGAAAUAUUACAAGGAUGAGACUAGUUCUUACACGGAAGACGUUCACAAUUGGUCACAAAGCAGCAUUGUUGAAUCAGAAGAGUUGUACUUUUCCAAGCAUAUGACAACAAUGAUUAAGCUAAUGGAUGUCAACAUGAGUCAUGGUCCAGCCAGUGUGAUACAUGUCGUUGGCAUGGGUGGUACAGGCAAGACUACUCUUGCAAGGAAGAUCUAUGAAAGUGAUAUCAGGGAGGAUUUUUGUGUGUGUGCUUGGAUCAUGGUCUCGCCGUCAUUUGUCAGGAUGGAGUUUCUCAAAGUUAUGUUGAAACAACUUUUUGGCGGGGAAGCAUUAAGGAUGCAACUUGAAGGGAAUGUAGUGUGGGAACAGGACCUCCUCAACUAUAUUAGGCAAGAGCUACUUGACAAGAGGUACUUUGUUGUUCUUGAUGACAUAUGGAAUAUAGAUGCUUGGAAUUGGAUCAAAUCUAUUUUUCCCCCUUAUAAUAACAAAGGCAGCCGAAUCAUAGUAACAAUGCGAGAUGUUGGCCUAGCUCAUAUGUGUACUUCAGAAUUUGGUCACACACAUAUCUACGACCAUCAAGUCCUAGAAAAGAAUGAUGCCAUAAAAUUGUUGCUAAGGAGGGCGAGGAGGAGUGAGGAAGAUAUGAACAAUGACCAGAACAUGAGGGAAGUAGUUACUAAGAUAGUAAAUAUAUGUGGACGGUUGCCCCUAGCUUUACUCACAAUAGGAGGCAUGCUUUCCACUAGAGAGACUAGUGAGUGGCAAAGUAUCUAUAACCAGCUCCCCGUAGAGCUUGAGAGCAACCGAAGCCUUGAAGCUUUGAGGAGGAUGGUUGUUGUGUGUUAUGACGACUUGCCAUCUCAUCUUAAGCCAUGUUUUCUAUACAUAAGCAUCUUUCCUAGGGAUUUUGAGAUCCAAGUGAGGCAUUUGAUAGAUAGAUGGAUUGCAGAGGGAUUUGUUACAUCUGGGGUUGGGAUGGAUAUUGAGGGUGUUGCAAGGAGUUACUUGUAUGUGUUAAUCAAUAGAGGUAUGGUUCAACCAUCAAGAGUUGAUAUAGAUGGAAGUGUUAAGAGUUGUAGAGUCCAUGCUGUCAUCUUUGAUAUCAUGAAAUCCAUUUCAAGAGAUGAAAAAUUUGUAUACUUCACAAGGGAUAUUGUUACAAGUGCACCAGAGGAGAACUUCCGCCAUGUAGCACACCAUCAUCAGAAGUGGCCAAAGAUUGGCUUGGAUUGGAGUCAUGUUCGAUCAUUGAGUAUGUUUGCUGUGAUCCCCACGGAACCAACACCACCAGUCUGUUCAGCCUACCUGAGGAUGCUAAGUUCCUUGGAUCUUCAGGAUGCACAAUAUAGUAUCACACAGAAAGAUAUCAACAACAUAGGGUUAUUGCGCCGUUUGAAAUAUCUGAAUGUUCGAGGACAUUCAAGUAUUUCCGGGCUUCCAGGAUCCAUAGGAAAACUACAUGGCUUACAAUAUUUGGAUGCAAGAAAUAGUUGCAUCACAUCAUUACCAAGUGAGAUCAGUACACUCCAUAGUCUGUGUAGCCUUCGCUGUAGCAGUAAAAAAGUUGAUCUAGAUGGCCCACAGGAAGGCUUGACGCACACAUUGUGCCUGCCCAUGGUAUUCACAUCUUUUCUUAAUUCUGUACCCCGUGCUGAGUCUGGGGGUGUGAGAGUGCCAAGAGGGAUCGGUGACUUAAAAGAGUUACGGAUACUAGAGGUUGUAGACACGAAACGAACUAGUAGCAGAGCAAUUAAAGAGCUAGGGGAGCUUAUGCAGCUAAGAAAGCUAAGUGUGGUAACAGCAGGGGCCACGAAGCAAAAAUGUAAGGUACUUUGUGCAGCCAUUGAGCAGCCAUCUUCUCUCCGCUCUCUUCGUGUAGAUGCUGGCACAAGCUCUCUCGAGUGGUUACACUCUGUUUCAUCUCCUCCCCCAAUCCUGAGGAGCCUGAAGCUGGUUGGAUUUCUUGGAGAGAUGCCAGACUGGUUGGGAAGUUUGAUGCAUUUGGUGAAGAUUCGCCUAGAGGGGAGUAAACUGAAGGGAGGUAAAACCAUGAAAUUACUGGGGGGACUGCCCAGUCUCAUGCUCCUUGGUCUUUGUAAUGAGGCUUAUGCUGGAGACAAACUAGUCUUCGGGGAGGAAGAAUUCCAAAAUCUCAGACAACUUGAUUUUAAUGGCAGUAUGGGAGUGAGAGAGGUGAGAUUCGAGGCGGGCACCUCGCCCCGCAUGGAAACGAUGCAAUUUGGCCAUUGCGAGUUGGAAUCAGGGGUCAAUGGUGUCAAGCACCUUCAAAGACUCAAGGAGAUUUCAUUUGGUUCCGCUGGUAAAGUGGCAAAUCUUGGUGCGCUGCAAGGUGAAGUGGACGGGCACCCCAACCGUCCCAUUCUGCGACUCAGGGAUGACUGGAGGUAUCACGACCUGGGUGACGUCGUCCAAGGAUCCAGUCCUGCAGUGCAAGCAGCGGCAACCGGAGAGAGCUCCUCCUCCCAGGUGGUGGUCCUGAGGACGACGGAGAUCGAGAUCGACAGCAGCCAAGACCCUGAAAUAAGGGAGGUCCAAGGCUCUGCUUUGGUGGAAGACGAUUUCUGGUCCUGCAAUUCCGACGACGACGACGAUGCUUGA
RNAcentral lists this ribosomal RNA (3042 nucleotides) under Triticum aestivum (bread wheat). RNAcentral's name for it is "partial small subunit ribosomal RNA". Lineage: Eukaryota; Viridiplantae; Streptophyta; Magnoliopsida; Poales; Poaceae. The record is from RNAcentral.